CAUCAAUUCGUCUGAGAAUCCCUUUUUAAAAGCUCUCGAUAUCUCCCAGUUUUUCCCUCUCACCCUUUCUUCUCGUUCUCUUCGGUUGUGCACAAAACCCUAGACGCUCUCUUAUUAAACCCUAAUCAGUCACAUUACAGUGAAGAGGAGAUGGAAUGGAAUGCAGAUACUCUUCAAUUUCUCUCUCAGUGCUUCCUCAAUACGCUCUCUCCGGCGCCGGAGCCACGCCGCGCAGCCGAAUCACAGCUCUCUGAGGCCUCGAACCGAGUUAAUUACGGCCUCGUUGUGCUCCGCUUGGUCGCCGAGCCCUCUGUUGACGAGCAGAUACGCCAUGCCGCCGCAGUUAACUUCAAAAAUCACCUCCGCUUCCGGUGGGCUCCGGUCCGGGACUCUACUCUCACCGCGAUUGCUGACCAGGAGAAGGAUCAGAUCAAGGCCUUGAUCGUGUCUCUCAUGCUCCGGUCGUCUGCUCGAGUACAGAGUCAGCUCAGUGAGGCUCUCUCCGUCAUCGGGAAGCAUGAUUUUCCCAAGCAGUGGCCUGCGUUGCUCCCGGAGCUUGUGGUCACUCUCCAGCAGGCUUCACAAUCUGCUGACUACGCAUCCAUUAAUGGUAUUCUUGGUACCGUCAAUUCUAUAUUUAAGAAAUUUCGAUAUGAGUACAAAACAAAUGAUUUGUUGCUUGAUUUGAAGUAUUGUUUGGAUAAUUUUGCGGCACCGUUACUUGAGAUUUUUCUUAAAACUGCUGCGAUAAUUGAUUCCCAAGUGAGUUCUGGUGGGUCUGCUGUCAGUCUCCGUCCACUGUUUGAGUCGCAGAGGUUGUGUUGUAGAAUAUUCUAUUCGUUAAACUUUCAAGACUUGCCUGAAUUCUUCGAGGAUCAUAUGAAUGAGUGGAUGGGUGAGUUUAGGAAGUACCUAACAAAAAAUUAUCCUGCACUUGAGACUAGUGGGGAUGGGCUCGCACUCGUUGAUGAGGUUAGGGCUGCAGUUUGCGAGAAUAUUAGUCUUUAUAUGGAGAAAAAUGAGGAAGAGUUUAAAGGCUACUUAAAUGAAUUUGCUCUUGCUGUUUGGACUUUACUUGGAAAUGUAUCUCAGUCUCCUAGCCGUGACAAGCUAGCUGUCAUGGCAAUCAAGUUCUUGACUACCGUGAGCACAAGCGUGCACCACACGCUGUUUGCUGGUGAAGGAGUUAUACCACAGAUCUGUCAAAGUAUUGUCAUUCCAAAUGUGCGGUUAAGGGAAGAUGAUGAGGAGCUCUUUGAGAUGAAUUAUGUUGAGUUUAUCAGGAGAGAUAUGGAAGGGAGUGAUGUUGAUACGAGGAGGAGGAUUGCGUGUGAAUUGCUUAAAGGGAUUGCGACAAAUUAUAAGGAACAAGUGAUGAAAAUGGUCUCUGAGCAGGUACAAAGUUUGUUGAGCUCAUUUGCUGCAAAUCCAAUUGCAAACUGGAAGGACAAAGACUGCGCAAUAUACUUGGUUGUUUCACUUGCAACUAAGAAGGCUGGAGGAAAUUCUGUGUCAACUGAAAUUGUUGAUGUAAAGAGCUUUUUCGCCUCUGUUAUAUUGCCGGAGUUACAGAGUCAAGAUGCCAAUGGGUUUCCCAUGCUCAAGGCAGGUGCCCUGAAAUUCUUCACGAUGUUCAGGAGUCAUAUAUCGAAACCUGUUGCACUUCAGUUAGUCUCAGAUGUGGUCCGGUUCCUUGGUGCAGAAUCGAAUGUAGUUCAUUCUUAUGCUGCAAAUUGCAUAGAGAAACUUUUGCUGGUCAAGGAUGAGGGGGGAAGAGCUAGGUAUACUUCAGCGGAUAUAACUCCAAUUCUGCCUGUGCUGAUUAAUAACCUAUUCAAUGCGCUGAAGUUCCCUGAAUCUGAGGAGAAUCAGUAUGUUAUGAAGUGUAUCAUGCGGGUUCUGGGUGCAGCUGACAUUUCAGGAGAGGUUGCUGUAUUUUGUAUAAAUGGAUUGACCUUUAUCCUAAAUGCAGUUUGCAGCAAUCCAAAGAAUCCAAUAUUUAAUCACUAUCUUUUUGAGUCUGUGGCUAUGCUAGUCAAGCGGGCAUGUGAGAGAGACAUCUCUCUUAUCUCAUCUUUUGAAGAAAAACUGUUUCCCAGCAUUCAGGCAAUCUUGGCCAAUGACGUGACCGAAUUUUUACCUUAUGCAUUUCAGUUACUUGCUCAGCUUGUUGAGUUGAAUAGACCACCCCUCUCACAGAGCUACAUGCAAAUUUUUGUUCUCCUGCUCUCACCUGACUCGUGGAAGAGAACUUCAAAUGUCCCUGCUCUCGUGCGUCUGCUUCAAGCCUUCCUUCAGAAGGCCCCCCACGAGCUCACCCAAGAGGGUAGGCUGACAAAGGUGCUUGGGAUAUUUGAAAUGCUUGUCUUGUCUUCAAGCACUGAUGAUCAAGGCUUCUACGUGCUCAACACAGUUAUUGAGAACCUGGAAUAUGGUGGUAUUGCUCCUUUUGUUCAUCACAUCUGGAGUACCUUGUUUGGGAGGCUUCAGAGACACCGAACAAUAAAGUUUAUCAAGUCACUUCUAAUUUUCAUGUCACUUUUUAUUGUCAAGCACGGUUCUGGGAAUCUUGUUGACACGAUGAAUGCUGUUCAGCCAAAUAUAUUUUUGGUCAUUUUGGAGCAGUUUUGGAUACCCAAUCUGAAGCUGAUUACUGGAACAAUUGAGCUGAAGUUAACUGCUGUUGCCUCCACCAAACUAAUCUGUGAAUCUCCUGCCCUUUUGGAUGCUGCUGGUGCAAGACACUGGGGGAAAAUGCUUGACAGCAUUGUCACCCUUCUUUCAAGGCCAGAGGACGACAGAGUUGAAGAUGAACCAGAAAUGCCUGAUAUUGGGGAUAAUAUUGGCUACACUGCCACUUUUGUUCGGCUUUACAAUGCGGGGAAGAAAGAGGAGGAUCCUCUAAAGGACAUAAAGGAUCCAAAGGAAUUCUUGGUAGCAUCAUUGGGAAGGCUUUCUGCCAUAUCUCCUGGGAGAUAUCCACAGAUAAUUAGUGAAAACCUUGAACCAGCCAAUCAGGCAGCUUUGAUGGAACUUUGCAGAACUUACAAUUGCCCAAUCAUUUAAUGUAUAAUUUUGCAGACAAUGAUCCUAACUAAUGUGAAAGAAAUUGUGGGUUCUCUGACAAACUAUGAUGAUUUCAGCAAUGCCUACUUUCUGUGAAAUGCAUUCAACAAUGAUCUUAUGUAGCAACUAGCAACAGAAGAGGUAUCCUUUGAGUAUACUUUGAACAAGUUAUGUUCGCCCUAAAGUGAUCUGAUGCCGUUGAUAAUCAACCCUCCCUUUGUGCAACCCCGUUGCAUCUUUUUUUUUUUUGUUUAAUGGCGGUGAGUCGGUGACACCAGGCUUUGUGGUUAGUGUCUCUUGAGUCGCAUCAUAGAGUCGGCAUCAUCUCGCUUGCACAAGCAGAUGACAGUUCCACUGUGGUUGAGUGGGUAGUGAUGCACAACAUUUUCUUCCCCAGUUUUUGUCUAACUUCAAGUCUGCCUGUGAAUGUUUUCUCAGCUAAGUGUUGAUCCGUGGUGUUGUCACGCACAUUAUUUCCCUACACCUCUGCAUACGCGCAUACAUGCAUUUUUGUAAUUGAGCAUGCGAGCAAGAAAACUAUAUUUACCCUUCGAGGAUUACUUUCAAAGGUGGAAGCUUUAGCUUUUAUUUCAUGUUUUGGUAAUCUAUUUAUACCCCUUGCAAA
Molecule: RNA transcript, 3691 nt
Organism: Tripterygium wilfordii
Lineage: Eukaryota; Viridiplantae; Streptophyta; Magnoliopsida; Celastrales; Celastraceae
Gene name: exportin-2-like
Exons: 3
Source: RefSeq, a predicted model, not a curated record